Non-coding RNA from Chelonoidis abingdonii (Abingdon island giant tortoise), 130 nucleotides. NCBI's taxonomy places the organism in Eukaryota, Metazoa, Chordata, Testudines, Testudinidae. The record is from RefSeq and is a predicted model, not a curated record.
UAUAGUUUACAAGACGCGUGGAGAGCUCCCCAGCACAAGUGACCACGCAGAGCUAUCAGCACAGGUAACAAUGCAGUUCCUGAGAAAUGAAAAAGAGUCCAAGCAUGGAACCGCAGCGGGAGGUACUGGA